CCCUUAGAUGUUCUGGGCCGCACGCGCGCUACACUGAUUCAUGCAACAAGUUUUGUCCUUGGCUGAUAGGCCUGGGUAAUCUUUGAACGUGAAUCGUGAUGGGGAUAGAUGAUUGCAAUUAUUCAUCUUCAACGAGGAAUUCCUAGUAAACGCAAGUCAUCAGCUUGCAUUGAUUACGUCCCUGCCCUUUGUACACACCGCCCGUCGCACCUACCGAUUGAAUGGUCCGGUGAAAUCUUCGGAUCUGAGAGAUGUCUGAUUAAUUUCGGACACCUUUUGGAAAAGUUGCUUAAACCUUACCAUUUAGAGGAAGGUGAAGUCGUAACA
RNAcentral lists this ribosomal RNA (327 nucleotides) under uncultured eukaryote. Its description in RNAcentral is "partial 18S ribosomal RNA". It matches the Rfam family "Eukaryotic small subunit ribosomal RNA", at positions 1470 to 1796 of the family's 1831-position model. The record is from RNAcentral.